This 253-nucleotide ribosomal RNA is filed under the name uncultured bacterium. RNAcentral's name for it is "partial 16S ribosomal RNA". It matches the Rfam family "Bacterial small subunit ribosomal RNA", at positions 524 to 776 of the family's 1533-position model. The record is from RNAcentral.
UACGUAGGGUGCAAGCGUUGUCCGGAAUUAUUGGGCGUAAAGAGCUCGUAGGCGGUUUGUCGCGUCUGCUGUGAAAACUCGGGGCUCAACUCCGAGCUUGCAGUGGGUACGGGCAGACUAGAGUGCGGUAGGGGAGAGUGGAAUUCCUGGUGUAGCGGUGGAAUGCGCAGAUAUCAGGAGGAACACCGGUGGCGAAGGCGGGUCUCUGGGCCGUAACUGACGCUGAGGAGCGAAAGCAUGGGGAGCGAACAGG